UGGAGGGGCUCUUAAUCAGUUAAUAGGAUAUUUGAAAGUAUCUUAGUUGUAUAUUUGUAUUUGAUUUAAAUUACAUACUUUGUGAUUUCUUUGUAGCACUUAAUAUGUUGUGUAUAACAAUCUUUGUUUAUACAACAAUUGCCACGUGAUAUGGCAUAGAGUACCAAAUCUUGUCAAAUAUAUGUAGUUUAGUUUGAUUAGUGAUUUUGCAUCUAUUGAUAGU
Molecule: long non-coding RNA, 223 nt
Filed under: Physcomitrium patens
Lineage: Eukaryota; Viridiplantae; Streptophyta; Bryopsida; Funariales; Funariaceae
Description: long non-coding RNA (PPAT_LNC000661)
Source: RNAcentral